Molecule: ribosomal RNA, 253 nt
Filed under: uncultured bacterium
Lineage: Bacteria
Description: partial 16S ribosomal RNA
Rfam family: Bacterial small subunit ribosomal RNA
Source: RNAcentral
UACGAAGGGGGCUAGCGUUGCUCGGAAUUACUGGGCGUAAAGGGCGCGUAGGCGGCUCUGUUAGUCAGGCGUGAAAGCCCAGGGCUCAACCUUGGAAUUGCCUUUGAUACUGGCUGUCUUGAGUUCGGGAGAGGUGAGUGGAAUGCCGAGUGUAGAGGUGAAAUUCGUAGAUAUUCGGCGGAACACCAGUGGCGAAGGCGACUCACUGGCCCGAUACUGACGCUGAGGCGCGAAAGCGUGGGGAGCAAACAGG